This 253-nucleotide ribosomal RNA is filed under the name uncultured bacterium. Its description in RNAcentral is "partial 16S ribosomal RNA". It matches the Rfam family "Bacterial small subunit ribosomal RNA", at positions 524 to 776 of the family's 1533-position model. The record is from RNAcentral.
UACGUAGGGUGCGAGCGUUGUCCGGAAUCACUGGGCGUAAAGGGCUCGUAGGCGGCCAACUAAGUCAUACGUGAAAUCCCUCGGCUUAACCGGGGAACUGCGUCUGAUACUGGAUGGCUUGAGUUCGGGAGAGGGAUGCGGAAUUCCAGGUGUAGCGGUGAAAUGCGUAGAUAUCUGGAGGAACACCGGUGGCGAAGGCGGCAUCCUGGACCGAUACUGACGCUGAGGAGCGAAAGCCAGGGGAGCAAACGGG